This 1056-nucleotide long non-coding RNA is filed under the name Lonchura striata (white-rumped munia). Its description in RNAcentral is "domestica (Bengalese finch) lncRNA (ENSLSDG00000001261.1)". The record is from RNAcentral. Lineage: Eukaryota; Metazoa; Chordata; Aves; Passeriformes; Estrildidae.
CAGGACUGGAAUUUCAGGAUUUUCAGGAUUUUGGUGCCGGGAUUUCAGGAUUUGGGGAUUUUAGUAUCAGAAUUUCAGGAUUUCAGGGACGGGAUUUGGGGAUUUUGGGACCAGAAUUUCGGGAUUUUGGUGCUGGAAUUUGGGGACUUUGGGACCGGAAUUUCGGGAUUUUACGGCUGGGAUUUUGGGAUUUAGAGGCCGGGAUUUCAGGAUUUUGGUGGUGGGAUUUUGGGAUUUCGGUACCAGAAUUUGGGGAUUUGGGUGUCAGAAUUUCGGGAUUUUGGGACGGGAAUUUCAGGAUUUUCGUGCCGGGAUUUGGGGAUUUCAGGAGCGGAAUUUCAGGAUUUGGGACGGAAUUUGGGGAAUGUUGGGAUUUGGUAUUUUGGUGCCAGGAUUUUGGGAUUUUGGGACUGGAAUUUCAGGAUUUUGGUGCCGGAAUUUCAGGAUUUCGGUACCAGAAUUUGGGGAUUUGGGUGCCGGAAUUUCGGUACUGGAAUUUGGGGAUUUCGGGACUGGAAUUUCGGGAUUCAGGGUGGGAAUUUCGGGAAUUUUGGGAUUUGUGCCAGGAAUUCGAGGAAUGUCGGGAUUUGGGGAUUUCGGUGCCGGAAUUUGGGGAUUUGGGGAUUUUGGUGCUGGAAUUUCGGGAUUUUGGGGAUUUUGGUGCCGGAAUUUGGGGAUUUUGGGAUUUCGGUGCCGGAAUUUGGGGAUUUUGGGGUUUCAGGACCAGAAUUUGGGGAUUUCAGUGCGGGAAUUUGGGGAUUUGGGGAUUUGGUGCUGGAAUUUCGGGAUUUUGGGGAUUUUGGUGCCGGAAUUUGGGGAUUUUAGGAUUUCAGUGCGGGAAUUUGGGGAUUUGGGGAUUUCGCUGCAGGAAUUUGGGGAUUUUGGGGUUUCAGGACCAGAAUUUGGGGAUUUCAGUGCUGGAAUUUCGGGAUUUUGGUAUUUCGGUGCUGGAAUUUGGGGAUUUGGGGAUUUUGGUGCUGGAAUUUCGGGAUUUUGGGGUUUCAGGCCCGGAAUUUGGGGAUUUCGGUGCCGGAAUUUGGGGAUUUGGGGAUUUUG